AAAAAGAUAAACUCUGGGUUUCCGUGUCCAACGUUUGACUGUCCGUCUUAUAUGAAAUUUUUUUAUAAUUAGUAUUUUCAUUGUUGUUAGAUGAUAAAACAUGAUUAAUACUUUUUGCGUGACUUGUCUUUUUAAUUUUUUUCAUAAUUUUUUCAAAUAAGACGGACGGUCAAAUGUUGGACACGGAAGCCUAGAGUUUGUCUUUUU
Molecule: microRNA precursor, 207 nt
Filed under: Oryza barthii
Lineage: Eukaryota; Viridiplantae; Streptophyta; Magnoliopsida; Poales; Poaceae
Description: MIR812 microRNA precursor family
Rfam family: MIR812 microRNA precursor family
Source: Rfam by way of RNAcentral